GAUGAUGCUGCUAUACAAGUCUACAAGGAUGGUGAUUAUGGAGCAUAUUUGGACUUGGAGUCCUCUUUGGCAGAACAGUCAGAAGAUAUUGAAGGCCUCAAUUCUAGUCGCAAAAAUUCUUUGGUGGUGCGCACCCAGUUAAGCGUCAGAGUUCAUGCAAUUAUUG
Molecule: long non-coding RNA, 166 nt
Organism: Teleopsis dalmanni
Lineage: Eukaryota; Metazoa; Arthropoda; Insecta; Diptera; Diopsidae
Exons: 2
Source: RefSeq, a predicted model, not a curated record